Long non-coding RNA from Equus asinus (donkey), 2996 nucleotides. The record is from Ensembl. NCBI's taxonomy places the organism in Eukaryota, Metazoa, Chordata, Mammalia, Perissodactyla, Equidae.
CAGAAACAGUCAGCGCGGAGAGGACUGUGCAGCAGCUUCCAGGAACUGCCUCACUCAUGCUUUGAUAUUCAUCCUCUGCAGAAAUCUGCUCAUCUCUGCAGCUUCAAAGCAGCACGCAGGAAUCAGAGAUGCUUACAUCAGCAGGAGACCUGGGAGAUGUUCUAUGGCAUCUCUGCCAUCGUACAGACUUCUCCAUCAAGGGCUUGAGCUGCAAAUAUGAAUAAAAAAAGUUCCCUGCUGUCAAGGUGAUCCUGGAUCAUCACAAGAGAGACAGCUGAUCUAAGCGAAGAGAGAAUGUAGCUCUGAUGGAGACAUAAGAUGUUGGGUUGAUACACAGUGAUGCCUUAUGGAACCCAAGGGCUGUCAAGCUUCGGGAGAUUCAGGAGCGCCGCGGGUCAUCCGAGGCCUAGGGCCAGCUUCACCUGGGAAGGAAUUCACGCAGCACACUCUCCCCUCCAGGGAGGGAAGGUGAAGCAAUGUAUUUUGAAAGCUGACUCCUCCCUGCUCUGGCAGAAAGUGGGUCAAAGGAGAAGCACAGUUUCUUCGCUGUUGCUCAGGCUCUCUCGUUUUAAAGGGUCGUGGAGGUUUCUCCUGUUGGGCUAUUAAAGGCAAUUUUGAGGAGAAUAAAGAAAAUAAGGAAAGAAAAAAUAGAAAAACUAAGAGGUUUUGGGGGAAAGGCUGGGGAUUCUAAGGAGAAAAGUUGGAGGUAGUGGCAAGAGGGGCUGUGGCCAAGAGACGCCAGGGGAGGGCCCCCAGGGGAGGGCCGUCUGGAGGCUGUUCUUGAGUUACAGUCCCACCAGCCUUCCCGUGUAGCUUGUGCAGUUUUCACUCCACAUUCUGGCUUUAUUUUCUAUAACAACUGAAUUCCAAGUGCCUAAUCCACUGGGGCUCCACACUCGAUACCCUGCCUCUUCUCCUGGCUCCCACCAUGGACUUGAGUUUAAAUCUGCAUCUGCAGGGCUUGUGAACACCAAGGUGUGGUGAUGGGGGCAGCGAAUGCCCAUUUGAUCCUCAAGUCAUCUCUCCAUGUAGGUGUCAGCCAAGACUGUCCCUUCCACAUACCAAAUCAUGCAGGUUGUGCCUCGAUGCCCCUCGUUCCUGUCUCUUGGUUCCUUCAAGUCCCAGGGCCCUUUCCAUUGCUAUUCCAUGCUCGGUCUCGAGGGCAUAGGAAUCCCUCUGAGGCAGGUUCUCCCUCUCUACAGCACUCAGGGCACAAAACCCGAUCUCUGGGCCUCAGUGACAUCUGUCCUUUUCCCUGUCCUUUCUUUCACCUGGCGUGAAGCAACUUUUUUCUGGUGUGGAGAAAGUCCCCUUUCCUCCAAUCUCCCUUUCAAACGUUUGGCUCUCUCCAACUCCUCUCAGUCCCACCAUGGGCUUUAGGCUUUUGGAAGCCACAGUUGGGAAGAAGUCUGUCUGUCCGUCCAUCUGUCUGUCCUCUCUCUAGCUUUCCAUCCUCAUAUCCCUUCCAAAUCGCAAUGGGCAUGAAAUAGACCACAUGCUUGGAAAUGGGCAAAAGAGAAAAAUACGUGGGAGAAAAUAGUUAAGCCUUCAAAAUAUUAUUCUGCACACACACACAGGUGGGAACCUCGUGUCAUCUGCCCAGAACUAAAGCAGAUGAACAUCUGGAAUCAGAAUCACCCGUGUGUGAGCUAAAAAUAUUGACUUCUGUGCCCCCCCCAAAGUCUGCUGAAUCAGAAUCUCUCCAGGUAAUUCUUUUUUUUUUUUUUUGAGGAAGAUUGGCCCUGAGCUAACAUCUGUUGCCAAUCUUCCUCUUUUUUUCCCCUUUUUUCUCCCCAAAGCCCCAGUGCAUAGUUGUAUAUCCUAGUUGUAGGUCAUUCUAGUUCUUCUAUGUGGGAUGCUGCCACAGCACGGCUUGACAAGCAGUGUGUAGGUCCAUGCCCAAGAUCCAAACGGGGGAACCCUGGGCCACUGAGCCAGAGCGUGUGAACUCAACCACUCAGCCAUGGGGUUGGCCCCUCCAGGUAAUUCUUAUGUGCACUAAACCUUGAGAAUUUCCUAGUCUUAGUCUCUGCUGAAUCAUCUACCCAGUUUUCAUAUUGAGUUGUGCUUGUUCCCAAGCUGGUUCUGAGUACUUUAAUGUGUGUACAAAUCACAUGGGGGGGUCUUGUUAAGUUGGGUGGGGGACCUGAGACUCUGCAUUUCUAACAAAUGUUCAGAUGCUGCUGCGGCUGCUGCUGGCUGGAGGACCACAUUUUGAGUGGCGAAGUGCUGGAGACUCUAUGUUGAUGUCCUGUGAGGCCUGUGAGGCCAUCUCGAGAUUUCUCAAGUCCUCGCUGCUGGCAGUUUGCUUGCACCGAGUUGGAGAUUGCUACACCCUCAUGGAGACUGUGCUUUGUUGACUGGGCUCUACCUAGGGCUCAUCCGGACUCGCUCCGCCUCCCUGCUUGUCCUGCCCUCCUGUCUCUGACCUGCUACUCCCACUCUGCCUCAAGGGCAACUCCACUGCCAUGCCCUGGUCUCCCUCACCCCAUGGGCCUCCUCUGACUGUAGAUAAAGAACCCAACAUCUCUAGAGAAUCUUUAAGUUUGCUAAUAUGGUAAAGUCCUUCUUCUUCCUGGGAGAAAAGGGGAAGUGAAACUUGAAGAAGCAGAUAAAGCUACCACAGAGGCACCCAGAGAUGAAUAAUCAUGGGAACCACACUUCCCUUCAUCAAGAUUAGCCUAGGGUUGGAUGUGUGACUCAAUUCCAGCUAGGAAGACAGAGAAGUCUGUUGGGGACCUGGUGAAUGUUUUUUCCCUUUAAGAAAAAAUCUGGAGCCUUCUGUUUUCCAUCUUGGAACAUAACUGUGAAGAUGUAGAGCUUGGAAUUGUAGCAGCCAUGUAGUGACUACAAGGUGACAAGCCUGAGGAUAGAAGCUGAAAGGCCAGUUAGGGAGAAGCUAUGUUCUUGACGAUAUCAUUGAGCCUUGGUCAGAACCAGUCCUGGAAUGGCCAACCUCCAGACUUCUUGUUAUUGCAGAUAAAUAAAGGUUUACA